UCAACUCGCGUUCAUAUUUUGCGCAAUGUCAUCGGUCAUCCUGGGGUGCGUUAUAUUCGAUUAAACGUCUGCAACGUUGAGUGACGGAUUGUUCUGAACGACACGUUACCCCAAAACGUUCUUCAACGUUCUUGAACAGACGUUGAGGUACGUUUGCUGGGUGUGGCCGGGUGUGGCUUGAAGCAAUGAGUGACAUAUUUAAAGGACAGCGGAGCGUUCCUCAGCCGGCGUUGUGUCCCGAAAGUGUGAAGAAGUUGUAAUUUGUUAGUUAGUUAGUUAGUUAGUUAGCAUAACUGUACUUGGUUCGGGGCGACAGGUGGUUAGAGCGUUGGACUAGUAACCAAAAGGUUUCAAGAUCGAAUCCCUGAGAUGACAAGCUGAUAGCUAAAGGAGGACAGCAUGGAGCAGCUAAAAUGGGACAGUCUUAGAGGCAUUUCCAGUGGAGGAAAGAGAGCCAGUUUACAAUAGGGGCCAUCCCUCUCCUCUUGGUCCAUCACCUCUAAUGAUCUGCUCAGGAAAUCAAUUCCAUCUUCAAAUGACAUCACACACAACCCCUGGAGACCUUUGAAACGGCUGACACGCUCUACUACUUAAACCACGACCUGGACAAAAAUGUUUGAUAUUUUAUUGAUUUAGGUCUUUUUGCAUUUAUUCAGAGCACAGUAAUCACACACAUGGUCAUGUCACUCACAUCAAUCUCAUUGUAAAAAAACAACACAACAAAUAUACGUCACAUUAGUAACUUGUUAGACUCUUGUGACAGCCUUAAUAUUAAUACAAUUAAACAGAAACAUGAACAUAGUCCAAAAGAUAAGCUGCUUAAUAUCAAUGAAUGUACCUUAAUGUAACAGCUCAAAUAAAAAUAGACCUUUAA
This is a long non-coding RNA of Oncorhynchus nerka (sockeye salmon), 874 nucleotides long. RefSeq lists it as uncharacterized. The transcript has 3 exons. NCBI's taxonomy places the organism in Eukaryota, Metazoa, Chordata, Actinopteri, Salmoniformes, Salmonidae. The record is from RefSeq and is a predicted model, not a curated record.